This 54-nucleotide non-coding RNA is filed under the name uncultured eukaryote. The record is from RNAcentral.
AAGUGAGCAGCGACACAGUUGACGACUGGCGCUCGGCCGCGCGCAGCGUGGGGA